This 698-nucleotide long non-coding RNA is filed under the name Equus caballus (horse). RNAcentral describes it as "lncRNA (ENSECAG00000047487.1)". The record is from RNAcentral. Lineage: Eukaryota; Metazoa; Chordata; Mammalia; Perissodactyla; Equidae.
GGCUGCACCCUCCCCAGCUCCAUCUUCCGUCCUUGUCAGGACAGUCGGCUUUGUCCAGCAGGGAUGUCCUGCUAUAUGAGCGUGAAGUAGUUGAAGUCGGAGCUGCUCUGUUGAGUGGGGGAUAGGAGAAGUAGCUGUUCCAGGGGCUUGGUUUUUGGAUGCCUGUACUAACAGACCCUCCCCCCUGCUUCCUGGACCCACCCCUCUGCCCACAAAGACCCUCAAGACCCUGCUUUCUGCUCUCCACUUUCAGGCAUGUCCUGACCCAUGUCCACUUGCCUGAGUCCUCCGUUGCCAUCCCUGGCCACACUCUGGAAUCUGGAACCUGCAUUGAGAGACCUGUGUUCUAAGCCCUGGCUGUGUGUUCUGAGAUAGGCAGUAAACCUCUCUGGGCCUUGUUUCCUCCCCUGCCAAGGGGAUGAGGAUCCAGGCCUUGCUCACCCCAGAGGGACCAAGAUCGGGUGGCAGAGCUCUGGCAGGGAGGAAGCAUCCACCAUUAUGAAGAUGAAGAGCCUGAGGCUCUGAGAUGUCACAUGACUCACUCAAGGUCAUCCUACUGUGGCAGAGAGAAUGGCAGAAGUGAUGCUAAGUCAGUAAAGACCAUGCAACUUCCAUUUUUCUUGGCUGGAACACUAGCUCCUAGAGCCCUGAGCCACCAUGUAAGAAGUAAGAAGAAUCCCUAGCCUGAGGCCGCCAUG